Small nuclear RNA from Gorilla gorilla gorilla (western lowland gorilla), 107 nucleotides. The record is from Ensembl. NCBI's taxonomy places the organism in Eukaryota, Metazoa, Chordata, Mammalia, Primates, Hominidae.
GUGCUCACUUCAGCAGCACAUAUACUGAAAUUGGAACGAUACAGAGAAGAUUAGCAUGGCCCCUGUGCAAGGAUGACAUGCAAAUUCAUGAAGUGUUCCAUUGAAAA